AUGAUGAGAGUGGCGCACGGGUGCGUAACGCGUGAGCAACCUGCCCAUAUCAGGGGUAUAGCCCGAAGAAAUUCGGAUUAACACCGCAUGAGAUUACAGUUCCGCAUGGGACAGUAAUUAAAUAUUUAUAGGAUAUGGAUGGGCUCGCGUGACAUUAGCUAGUUGGUAGGGUAACGGCUUACCAAGGCUACGAUGUCUAGGGGCUCUGAGAGGAGAAUCCCCCACACUGGUACUGAGACACGGACCAGACUCCUACGGGAGGCAGCAGUAAGGAAUAUUGGUCAAUGGAGGGAACUCUGAACCAGCCAUGCCGCGUGCAGGAUGACUGCCCUAUGGGUUGUAAACUGCUUUUGUCAGGGAAUAAACCUUUCUACGUGUAGGAAGCUGAAUGUACCUGAAGAAUAAGGAUCGGCUAACUCCGUGCCAGCAGCCGCGGUAAUACGGAGGAUCCGAGCGUUAUCCGGAUUUAUUGGGUUUAAAGGGUGCGUAGGCGGCUUAUUAAGUCAGGGGUGAAAUACGGCAGCUCAACUGUCGCAGUGCCUUUGAUACUGAUAAGCUUGAAUGUGGUUGAAGAUGGCGGAAUGAGACAAGUAGCGGUGAAAUGCAUAGAUAUGUCUCAGAACUCCGAUUGCGAAGGCAGCUAUCUAAGCCAUUAUUGACGCUGAUGCACGAAAGCGUGGGGAUCAAACAGGAUUAGAUACCCUGGUAGUCCACGCCCUAAACGAUGAUAACUCGAUGUUAGCGAUACACAGUUAGCGUCUUAGCGAAAGCGUUAAGUUAUCCACCUGGGGAGUACGCCCGCAAGGGUGAAACUCAAAGGAAUUGACGGGGGCCCGCACAAGCGGAGGAGCAUGUGGUUUAAUUCGAUGAUACGCGAGGAACCUUACCCGGGCUUGAAAGUUAGUGAAUGAUCCAGAGACGGAUCAGUCCUUCGGGACACGAAACUAGGUGCUGCAUGGCUGUCGUCAGCUCGUGCCGUGAGGUGUUGGGUUAAGUCCCGCAACGAGCGCAACCCCUAUGUUUAGUUGCCAGCAUGUAAUGAUGGGGACUCUAAACAGACUGCCUGCGUAA
Molecule: ribosomal RNA, 1071 nt
Filed under: Sphingobacterium sp.
Lineage: Bacteria; Pseudomonadati; Bacteroidota; Sphingobacteriia; Sphingobacteriales; Sphingobacteriaceae
Description: bacterial SSU rRNA
Rfam family: Bacterial small subunit ribosomal RNA
Source: RNAcentral